This 232-nucleotide ribosomal RNA is filed under the name uncultured bacterium. Its description in RNAcentral is "partial 16S ribosomal RNA". It matches the Rfam family "Bacterial small subunit ribosomal RNA", at positions 99 to 334 of the family's 1533-position model. The record is from RNAcentral.
CGGACGGGUGAGUAAUGUCUGGGAAACUGCCCGAUGGAGGGGGAUAACUACUGGAAACGGUAGCUAAUACCGCAUAACGUUGCAAGACCAAAGAGGGGGACCUUCGGGCCUCUUGCCAUCGGAUGUGCCCAGAUGGGAUUAGCUAGUAGGUGGGGUAAUGGCUCACCUAGGCGACGAUCCCUAGCUGGUCUGAGAGGAUGACCAGCCACACUGGAACUGAGACACGGUCCAG